AACGAACGCUGGCGGCAUGCCUAACACAUGCAAGUCGAACGAGACCUUCGGGUCUAGUGGCGCACGGGUGCGUAACGCGUGGGAACCUGCCCUUAGGUUCGGAAUAACUCCCCGAAAGGGGUGCUAAUACCGGAUAAUGUCUUCGGACCAAAGAUUUAUCGCCUUUGGAUGGGCCCGCGUUGGAUUAGCUAGUUGGUAGGGUAAAAGCCUACCAAGGCGACGAUCCAUAGCUGGUCUGAGAGGAUGAUCAGCCACACUGGGACUGAGACACGGCCCAGACCCCGACGGGGGGCAGCAGUGGGGAAAAUUGGACAAGGGGCGAAAGCCUGACCCAGCAAUGCCGGGUGAGUGAUGAAGGCCUUAGGGUUGUAAAGCUCUUUUACCCGGGAUGAUAAGGACAGGACCGGGAAAAUAAGCUCCGGCUAACCCCGU
RNAcentral lists this ribosomal RNA (432 nucleotides) under uncultured bacterium. RNAcentral's name for it is "partial 16S ribosomal RNA". It matches the Rfam family "Bacterial small subunit ribosomal RNA", at positions 29 to 506 of the family's 1533-position model. The record is from RNAcentral.